This 376-nucleotide ribosomal RNA is filed under the name uncultured bacterium. RNAcentral's name for it is "bacterial SSU rRNA". It matches the Rfam family "Bacterial small subunit ribosomal RNA", at positions 524 to 898 of the family's 1533-position model. The record is from RNAcentral.
UACAGAGGUCUCGAGCGUUAGGCGGAAUCACUGGGCUUAAAGCGUGUGUAGGCGGAUCGUUAAGUGCCUUGUGAAAUCCCACGGCUUAACCGUGGAACUGCUUGGCAUACUGGCGAUCUUGAGCAACCUAGGGGCGAGCGGAACAAAUGGUGGAGCGGUGAAAUGCGUAGAUAUCAUUUGGAACGCCAAUGGUGAAAACAGCUCGCUGGGGGUUUGCUGACGCUGAGACACGAAAGCCAGGGGAGCAAACGGGAUUAGAUACCCCGGUAGUCCUGGCCCUAAACGAUGUCCACUAGAUCCUAGAGCCUCUGACGGUUUUAGGGUCGAAGCAAAAGUGCUAAGUGGACCGCCUGGGAAGUACGGUCGCAAGGCUAAA